CAUUAUCGAGUUCUUGAACGGGUUGUAGCUGGCCUUCCGAGGUAUGUGCACGCCCUGCUCAAUCCACUCUACACCUGUGCACUUACUGUAGGUUUCUUGGUCGCGUCGGAUCCCUUNACGGGGGCUCGACAAAGCCGAGGGGCUUAUGUUUUACUACAAACUAUAAAGUAAUUGAAUGUAUACCGCGUCUAACGCAUCUAUAUACAACUUUCAGCAACGGAUCUCUUGGCUCUCGCAUCGAUGAAGAACGCAGCGAAAUGCGAUAAGUAAUGUGAAUUGCAGAAUUCAGUGAAUCAUCGAAUCUUUGAACGCACCUUGCGCUCCUUGGUAUUCCGAGGAGCAUGCCUGUUUGAGUGUCAUGAAAUUCUCAACCUACAAGCCUUUUCGGAGGUYCUUGUACGGCUUGGACUUGGAGGAUCAUUGUCGGCAGCGAUGUCGGCUCCUCUUAAACGCAUUAGCUAGUUCUCGCGGAACGGCUUUCGGUGUGAUAAUUGUCUACGCCGUGGUCGUACCGAGUAUAUGGACGAGCUUCUAAAC
This 537-nucleotide ribosomal RNA is filed under the name Microporus sp. (in: basidiomycete fungi). RNAcentral's name for it is "eukaryotic LSU rRNA". The record is from RNAcentral. Lineage: Eukaryota; Fungi; Basidiomycota; Agaricomycetes; Polyporales; Polyporaceae.